RNAcentral lists this ribosomal RNA (530 nucleotides) under uncultured bacterium. Its description in RNAcentral is "partial 16S ribosomal RNA". It matches the Rfam family "Bacterial small subunit ribosomal RNA", at positions 355 to 895 of the family's 1533-position model. The record is from RNAcentral.
UGGGGAAUAUUGCACAAUGGGCGAAAGCCUGAUGCAGCGACGCCGCGUGAGGGAUGACGGCCUUCGGGUUGUAAACCUCUUUCAGCAGGGAAGAAGCGAAAGUGACGGUACCUGCAGAAGAAGCACCGGCUAACUACGUGCCAGCAGCCGCGGUAAUACGUAGGGUGCGAGCGUUGUCCGGAAUUAUUGGGCGUAAAGAGCUUGUAGGCGGUUUGUCGCGUCUGCCGUGAAAAUCCGGGGCUCAACCCCGGACUUGCGGCGGGUACGGGCAGACUAGAGUGUGGUAGGGGAGACUGGAAUUCCUGGUGUAGCGGUGAAAUGCGCAGAUAUCAGGAGGAACACCGAUGGCGAAGGCAGGUCUCUGGGCCACUACUGACGCUGAGAAGCGAAAGCGUGGGGAGCGAACAGGAUUAGAUACCCUGGUAGUCCACGCCGUAAACGUUGGGAACUAGGUGUGGGUCUCAUUCCACGAGAUCUGUGCCGCAGCUAACGCAUUAAGUUCCCCGCCUGGGGAGUACGGCCGCAAGGCU